ACGCCUGCGGCUUGCUACACCGUUUGGGGAAUGGCUCGGCUCGAGUGCUGAUGAAGGCCGUGCCAAGCUGCGAUAUGCGCGGGGUAGGCGCAAGGAGCCUGUGAACCCGCGAUUGCCGAAUGGGACUUCCUUCUCCUUCGGGAGAGAUCCGUGAGGAUCGGAUACGAGGGGAAUUGAAACAUCUUAUUACCCCCAGGAAAAGAAAUCAACCGAGAUGCUGUUAGUAAGGGCGACCGAACACAGCACAGGGCAAACUGAAUCCUCCUGAGAAAUCAGGCGGAGAUGUGGUGUUGAAGACCCUGGGUACUUCCUAACCGUCCAACUCGAAGUCGUCUGGAACGACGCACCAUAGAGGGUGAGAGUCCUUUAGAGGAACGAUGGAAGGAAGAUUCCGGGAGUUCUUGAGUAACGUGCACCGGAUAUUGCGCGUGAAUCUGGGAGCCAUUUGCUUCCAACCCUAAAUACAACUCGAGUCCGAUAGUGCAGUAGUAGUGUGAACGAAAGCUGAAAAGUACCCUUUGCGGGAGGUUAAAAGGGCCUGAAACCAGACGGUUAUUUGCUUACAAGGCAUGGAAGGGACGAAGUGCGCAAGCAUGGACCAGUGUCUUGUUAUCCGUUUUGAAUAACGGGCCAGGGAGUUCGGACCAAUGGCGAGGUUAAGUGGUUCAACCACGAAGCCGAAGGGAAACCGAUAUGUCCGCAGUCCGCAAGGACGAGGGACGAGGUGUGCUCGCCUGUAGUCAUUGGUGAGAGACCCGAAGCCAGUUGAUCUAUGCGUGGCCAGGUUGAAGCCUAUGGAAACAUGGGUGGAGGACCGUACCGGUGUUGAGGUGCAAAUCACUCGGAUGAGCUGCGUAUAGGGGUGAAAGUCCAAUCUAAACUGGGUAUAGCUGGUUCCCCCCGAAACUACUCGCAGGUAGAUCUCAGACGAGACGGAUGAUGAGGUAGAGCGACCGAUUGGGGGCUUAGGGGGAGAAAUCCCUCGGUCCCCUGUCAAACUCCGAACUUGUCAUCGUCGUAGACUCUGGGAGUGAGCGCGUGAGGGGUAAGCUCCACUCGCGAAACGGGAACAACCGGAACUUGGGUUAAGGUCCCUAAGUGUUGGCUAAGUGUGAACGGCUAAAAGGAGUCGACAGCCAGAAACAACUGGGAUGUGGGCUUAGAAGCAGCCAUCGUUUAAAGAAAGCGUAACAGCUCACCAGUCGAGGUUAUCGGCCCUGAAAAUGGACGGGGCUAAGCCAAUCACCGAUACCCAGGGACACCGAAAGGUGAUUCAGUAGGGGGGCGUCGGGCGCGAGCGGAAGCUCGGUGGUGACAUCGAGUGGAUCGCGUCCGAAUGAGGAUCCUGGUGGGAGUAGCAGCAAAGAGUGGUGAGAAUCCACUCCGCCGUAGGGGCCAGGGUUCCUCGACAAUGUUCAUCAGUCGAGGGUUAGUCGGUCCUAAGGCGUUCCUUAACCGAGAACGUCGAAUGGGAAGCAGGUCAAUAUUCCUGCACCAUCGCAGUCUUUGCGCAAGCAUUGACGCAUGGGGAUAUUUCGAACAGACUCGUCUGUCUGUCCAAGUGUAUAGGCCGAUGGAGAACCGUAAUGGUGAGAAGUUGGCAAAAGCAUGAGUGGGAGGGCGAAAGCCCCCUUCGGAUGAUUCCUUGUGCCAGUGAAAAGAUGUUUGUUUACAACUGUGGUGUCCGUACCUAGAACCGACACAGGUGCCCCUGGAUGAGUAGUCCAAGGCGUGACGGCGUAAUUGAGGCGAGGGAACUCGGCAAAUUAGCCCCGUAACUUCGGGAUAAGGGGUGCGAGACAUGAGGAUGUCUCGUCGCAGUGACUAGGGCGCUCCGACUGUUUAACCAAAACAUAGGUCGCAGCAAGUUCGAAAGGAUGUGUAUUGCGGCUGAAGCCUGCCCAGUGGCGGUAUCUGAAAGCUCUGUACAAGGGGACGAAGGACCGCUAAACGGCGGGGGUAACUCUGACCCUCUUAAGGUGCAAUUAUAUAAUUAUGCGCCUUAUUAAAAUUCGGCUAUAUGCUGGAACACCUGAGAAUCCUACACUACUCGAUAAUAAAUAAGAAAAUAAAAAUCGAGUGAAAAUGUGAUAGGUGCAGGCAAUCAGCAGGAAAGACUGAGAACGAAGCUCAGAAUCCUCAGAGACUGUAAGCCGGACACUGAGAACAGCAGUGAAGAUACAGUCCGACCCUCAUGGCGACAUGAGGAGAUCAUGAGAAAUCAUGAUCCGCCUUCAAAAGAAGGUCUUCAAGCAACAGAGGUGAGCGUAAUACCUUGUCGCUUAAUUGGCGACUUGCAUGAAGGUCCAACGAGGGCGCCACUGUCCCCGCCUCGAAGCCGGUGAAACCGAUUAGAAUGGCGUGAAAUCCAUUCUCUUCCAGCUGAAAGCGAAGACCCCGUGGAGCUUUACUGCAGUCUGCGGUUGUGGUAUGAGCUUGAAUGUGUAGGGUAGGCAGGAGACGUUACCAGGGCCUGCCGCAAGGUAGGUUCCGAGUCAAAAGUGAAACACUGCCCUUUCGAACUCAUAUCACUUACAUUUCCGAAUGGACACCCGUAGAUAGGCAGUUUGGGUGGGGCGCCACGCCCUCAAAAAGAUAACAAGGGCGCCCAAAGGUCAGCUCAGGUAGGUCAGAAAUCUACCGAAGAGUGCAAGGGCAAAAGCUGGCUUGACGUGGUUCAGCCCAACAAUGAACCACGAUACGAAAGUAGGGCCUAGCGAACCACUGUACCUCACAAAUGGGGGUCAGUGAUUACAGAGAAGUUACCCCGGGGAUAACUGAGUCGUCUCCAGCAAGAGUUCAUAUCGACCUGGAGGCUUGCUUCUUCGCUGUCGGUUCUCCCUAUCCUGGCGGUGCAGCAGCUGCCAAGGGUGGGGUUGUUCGCCCAUUAAAAGGGAUCGUGAACUGGGUUCAGACCGUCGUGAGACAGGUUUGUUGCUUUUUGCUGGAAGUGUUUUGAUGCCUGACGGGAAGGUCCUUCUAGUACGAGAGGAACGGAGGAUCGUCGCCGCUGGUUUAUCAGUUGUCCGACAGGGCAACGCUGAGUAGCUAAGCGAUGGAGGAUAAGAGCUGAACGCAUCUAAGCACGAAACCUCCCCGAAAAAGAGGCAUCUUACAGCCGCCAUAAUUGAUGGCGUUGAUAGAGUCGGGAUGUAAGUACCGAGGUUCGCCGAGGUAUUCAGUCCACGACUACUAAUCGCUGAAGUCGCAACCAA
Molecule: ribosomal RNA, 3215 nt
Filed under: Thermoplasmata archaeon
Lineage: Archaea; Methanobacteriati; Thermoplasmatota; Thermoplasmata
Description: 23S ribosomal RNA
Rfam family: Archaeal large subunit ribosomal RNA
Source: RNAcentral